UUGUUUGAUUCGAGCAAGUAGGUCUGAGAGAUAUUUGAAGUAAAUUUCAGUACAAGGAUAAAAUGAUAAUUUUAAAAUUUUUUUAAAAUUAUAAUUUUACAGUAAAAAUUAUUAAUUAAUCUAAUUAAUUAAUAUGUAUUAACCCUACACAAGGAUUUAAAUAUGAUAUAUAUAUAGCAUGCAUUUAAAUAUGAAAUUUAAACUUCUACAGUAAAUAUUUUACUGUUAUGUGUUCAGAACAUAUUACCUUCGUGCAGGUAGUCGAUCGCCGCAGUCUGAUCACCGUCGGAAAGGUCUGAUUAUUGUAAUGCAGCUACACAGUAUAUCUAGCCUCUACAGAUUAUCCACACGAAGCUUCCGGUCUGAUCGGCUCCUUAUGAAUGCUAGUUCGUUGCAGAACUCUUUCGAUGGCUGAUGCUGAUCGAACUCCUUCGAUCGGUGUCUGUCGAUUCUUCGAACAGACUGGAUCAUCAGCAAAGAUAGUAGAGAGAUUGAUGAAGCUCUUCCUAAAGUUUGGUGGACUCACGAUACUCGUAGCUCACCUUCUUACUUUCCGACCCUAGACAAUAACCUUAGGGUACACACAGAAAAUCCUGCACCCAAAAUCUUUCUUUUCUUUUCUCUCGAAAUUUUUGAACUCUCAAUCUCAUGCACAAGGCCUUCUCAUGCAAUCUCUCUCUCUAAGAAAGUCAUGUGCAUGCCCCACCUUCUCUUUCCUUUUUAAAAUAGUGCAAGACCGCAUCUUUACCGCAUCUUCACCGCAUGAGAGGACAAAGCUAGGUGGUUGCUCACUUGAAUUCAAAUCGAAUUUAAAUUCAAAUGCCAACCAACCAAUCUUUAUCCACUCUUGGCAUGAGAAGAAGGGGG
This 867-nucleotide long non-coding RNA is filed under the name Elaeis guineensis (African oil palm). Its description in RNAcentral is "long non-coding RNA (EGUI_LNC037567)". The record is from RNAcentral. Lineage: Eukaryota; Viridiplantae; Streptophyta; Magnoliopsida; Arecales; Arecaceae.